AUUAUACUCCCUCCGUCCGGAAAUACUUGUCGGAGAAAGGAUGAAUCUAGACGUAUUUUAGUUAUAGAUACAUCCAAUUUAAUUUAUUUCUCCGACAAGUAUUUCAGGACUGAGGGAGUACAUA
Triticum aestivum (bread wheat) is the source of this 124-nucleotide non-coding RNA. The record is from Rfam. Lineage: Eukaryota; Viridiplantae; Streptophyta; Magnoliopsida; Poales; Poaceae.